UACGAAGGGGGCUAGCGUUGCUCGGAAUCACUGGGCGUAAAGGUGCGUAGGCGGGUCUUUAAGUCAGGGGUGAAAUCCUGGAGCUCAACUCCAGAACUGCCUUUGAUACUGAAGAUCUUGAGUUCGGGAGAGGUGAGUGGAACUGCGAGUGUAGAGGUGAAAUUCGUAGAUAUUCGCAAGAACACCAGUGGCGAAGGCGGCUCACUGGCCCGAUACUGACGCUGAGGCACGAAAGCGUGGGGAGCAAACAGG
This 252-nucleotide ribosomal RNA is filed under the name uncultured bacterium. Its description in RNAcentral is "partial 16S ribosomal RNA". It matches the Rfam family "Bacterial small subunit ribosomal RNA", at positions 524 to 776 of the family's 1533-position model. The record is from RNAcentral.